AGGAAACUGCCUCUGCCGUCGCCGGAGAACCCUGCCGUUGAUCCACUGGAGCUUCUGGCCGCCGCCGGAGCUGUUGCCGGGGCCGGUUCAAAAUCGCAGCUGCUUCGUGUUGUUAUUCCGUGUUGCUAUGGUUAUUGCGAAAGUGGCUGGGAGCUGAGGUU
Arachis ipaensis is the source of this 161-nucleotide non-coding RNA. The record is from RefSeq and is a predicted model, not a curated record. Lineage: Eukaryota; Viridiplantae; Streptophyta; Magnoliopsida; Fabales; Fabaceae.